This is a non-coding RNA of Mycena albidolilacea, 88 nucleotides long. NCBI's taxonomy places the organism in Eukaryota, Fungi, Basidiomycota, Agaricomycetes, Agaricales, Mycenaceae. The record is from the annotation of a GenBank genome assembly.
GCUCCAAAGGUCAGCGGUAGACCGGCCUCACCGAUUAAUGACGUCAGAAAGGUCUGAGGCGUACGCGGGUUCGACCCCCGCUGGAGCG